GAUGAACGCUGGCGGCGUGCCUAAUACAUGCAAGUCGAGCGAACAGACGAGGUGCUUGCUCCUCUUACGUUAGCGGCGGACGGGUGAGUAACACGUGGAUAACCUACCUAUAAGACUGGGAUAACAUUGGGAAACCGGAGCUAAUACCGGAUAAUAUAUUGAACCGUAUGGUUCAAUAGUGAAAGACGCUUUUGCUGUCACUUAUGGAUGGCUCCGAGCCGAAUUAGCUAGUUGGUAAGGUAACGGCUUACCAAGGCAAGGAUGCGUACCCGACCGGAGAGGGUGAUCGCCCACACUGGAACGGGGACACGGUCCAAACUCCUGCGGGAGGCAGCAGUAGGAAAUCUUCCGGAAUGGGCGAAAGGCUGACGGAGCAACGCCGCGUGAGUGAUGAAGGUCUUCGGAUCGUAAAACUCUGUUAUUAGGGAAGAACAAAUGUGUAAGUAACUAUGCACGACUUGACGGUACCUAAUCAGAAAGCCACGGCUAACUACGUG
Molecule: ribosomal RNA, 497 nt
Filed under: uncultured bacterium
Lineage: Bacteria
Description: partial 16S ribosomal RNA
Rfam family: Bacterial small subunit ribosomal RNA
Source: RNAcentral